This 76-nucleotide transfer RNA is filed under the name Candidatus Curtissbacteria bacterium RIFCSPLOWO2_01_FULL_37_9. RNAcentral describes it as "tRNA-Arg". It matches the Rfam family "tRNA". Rfam says of the family: Transfer RNA (tRNA) molecules are approximately 80 nucleotides in length. Their secondary structure includes four short double-helical elements and three loops (D, anti-codon, and T loops). The record is from RNAcentral. Lineage: Bacteria; Candidatus Curtissiibacteriota.
GCGCCCUUAGUUCAAUGGAUAGAACGCUCGGCUUCGGACCGAGUGGUUGGGGGUUCGAGUCCCUCAGGGCGCGCAA